RNAcentral lists this ribosomal RNA (425 nucleotides) under uncultured bacterium. RNAcentral's name for it is "partial 16S ribosomal RNA". It matches the Rfam family "Bacterial small subunit ribosomal RNA", at positions 354 to 796 of the family's 1533-position model. The record is from RNAcentral.
GUGGGGAAUCUUGCGCAAUGGGCGAAAGCCUGACGCAGCCAUGCCGCGUGAAUGAUGAAGGUCUUAGGAUUGUAAAAUUCUUUCACCGGGGACGAUAAUGACGGUACCCGGAGAAGAAGCCCCGGCUAACUUCGUGCCAGCAGCCGCGGUAAUACGAAGGGGGCUAGCGUUGCUCGGAAUUACUGGGCGUAAAGGGCGCGUAGGCGGACAGUUUAGUCAGAGGUGAAAGCCCAGGGACCAACCUUGGAAUUGCCUUUGAUACGGGCUGUCUUGAGUACGGGAGAGGUGAGUGAAUCUCCGAGUGUAGAGGUGAAAUUCGUAGAUAUUCGGAAGAACACCAGUGGCGAAGGCGACUCACUGGCCCGUUACUGACGCUGAGGCGCGAAAGCGUGGGGAGCAAACAGGAUUAGAAACCCGAGUAGUCC